CAGUCGCCACGGUAAUACAGAGGGUGCAAGCGUUAAUCGGAUUUACUGGGCGUAAAGGGCGCGUAGACGGAUUGCGCAGUCAGAUGUGAAAUUCCUGGGCUUAACCUGGGGGCUGCAUUUGAGACGCGUAGUCUAGAGUGUGAAAGAGGGUCGUGGAAUUCCCAGUGUAGAGGUGAAAUUCGUAGAUAUUGGGAAGAACACCGGUGGCGAAGGCGGCGACCUGGUUCAUAACUGACGCUGAGGCGCGAAAGCGUGGGGAGCAAACAGGAUUAGAGACCCCAGUAGUCCCUGUCUCUUAUAC
RNAcentral lists this ribosomal RNA (301 nucleotides) under uncultured bacterium. Its description in RNAcentral is "partial 16S ribosomal RNA". It matches the Rfam family "Bacterial small subunit ribosomal RNA", at positions 509 to 807 of the family's 1533-position model. The record is from RNAcentral.